This 470-nucleotide ribosomal RNA is filed under the name uncultured bacterium. RNAcentral's name for it is "bacterial SSU rRNA". It matches the Rfam family "Bacterial small subunit ribosomal RNA", at positions 63 to 548 of the family's 1533-position model. The record is from RNAcentral.
CGAAGUCAAGAGGAGCUUGCUCUUUUUGACUUAGUGGCGAACGGGUGAGUAACGCGUGAGGAACCUGCCUCAAAGAGGGGGACAACAGUUGGAAACGACUGCUAAUACCGCAUAAGCCCACAGCUCCGCAUGGAGCAGAGGGAAAAGGAGCAAUCCGCUUUGAGAUGGCCUCGCGUCCGAUUAGCUAGUUGGUGAGGUAACGGCCCACCAAGGCGACGAUCGGUAGCCGGACUGAGAGGUUGAUCGGCCACAUUGGGACUGAGACACGGCCCAGACUCCUACGGGAGGCAGCGGUGGGGAAUAUUGCACAAUGGGGGAAACCCUGAUGCAGCGACGCCGCGUGGAGGAAGAAGGUCUUCGGAUUGUAAACUCCUGUUGUUGGGGAAGAUAAUGACGGUACCCAACAAGGAAGUGACGGCUAACUACGUGCCAGCAGCCGCGGUAAAACGUAGGUCACAAGCGUUGUCCGG